UUUCAGCUUUACUGUGUAUGUAAGAUGCCUAAGCAUCACUAUUUUGAUCAAGUCAAAGGCUGCUGUUCCCUGGCAUCGUUUCCACAUGCUCACUGCUGUCUUCUAGCAAAGCCUGAAUCUACAGAAUGGAGUCAAAGUUGGGGUGAAGAAGCCAUCUAUUCAGCAGUGAAACAGGGCUAAGCCUUGAAACAACGCUCAGAUACUCUCCAAAAGGAGCUGUUGAUUUUCCCCAGCCAUUCUCCAUGCACUGGGUGGUAUUGGAGGGCAGUGGAGCUCUCUCUGCCCGGUGGGAUGCCAGGGAGCUGUGACAGAUGGGAGACUGUUAAUAUUGAACACAUCAUUACGCUGGCCACAGCCUCAAUUCCUUCUGCAGCAAUGUGUAAGGAGGGCAUCAAUAUUAAGGGAAUAAUGUUGCUGAGUUUCUCCCAAGGGGAAACCAUGGAGGGCACAGCUUUCCAUGGGGCCAUCAGCUAGGGCUGGUCCAAGGACACCAGCAGACCCUGCACUGAAGCUCUCUACUAGCACUAUGUUCUCAAAUGUUGCCCCAUCAACACUGUUCUCCAUCCUCCCCCUGCUUGGCUGUGCAGAUUUGGGCAUUUGUGCCUGAAUUUCUCCAUUUUUGCACAAGAGUUCAUCACCAAACUCAUGCUAUGCACACACUGGGCCCAGUGUGAGGGCUGAUGGAUUUGUGCUGGAAGGAGCCACACUUACCUGUUCUUACACCAGCUGCCCAAAAUAUGUUAAUCCAAGCCCAUGAACAGAACCCCCCUUGUUUUUGUUGUGUGAGACACAGAUUUAGAAUAAUAGAAUCAUUAAGGUUGGAAAGGACCUCUAACAUCACCAAGUCCAACCGUCAUUUACUGCAUACAACAUCUUAUUUACAAGUUACCCAUAAUACUGCAAAUACUAUUUGCUGUGUUGGGCAUUAUUGCAUAUUGUCAUGGCUUUUUCUAAGGAUGGUGAGCACCAGUUUUGCCUGGGCUGCCACCAUGGAGCCUUUUCUCAUAACACGGGGCAACCUUUGACUUUUUGCUGUGUUUUUUCUCAGUGUGGCUCAUGCCAGGCACGGUUUCAGCUGCACCCCCAAGAGGCCGUUUCCCUUGGGAGCUCCCACACCGCACCCAAGAAAAAGCUUUAUUUAUACUCAUUUAGCUGCUUGCCUUUUACAUAAUUGCAAUCAUUAACCUUCUCGCUUAAUGAAGAACGUGCCCGGGGGCCGGUGGGCCCCUCCUGGGCCGCGCUGUGGAUUCCUGCCCAUUGCAAUGAGUAGGCCAGCUGAGACAUCCUUGGGAGGUGGCCUCAGGAGUGGGGCCCCAAACCUGCUCUGCAUCCCAGUGCUGCCAGCAGUGGGACUUUGCCUCACGGUGCCCAUGGGGGCGGCAGGGCUGGUGCUGGCAUCUCAUCUUGGCAGAGAAGUCAUCCGCACUGACCACGGGGAGGGCUUUUUGCCCGCCGGGUCCCACUUUGCUCCCCUAUAUUUAGCCCGUUAUGAAUAUGGAAUAGCGUUGAAAAUGAUUCGCAUAGACAUCCCUCUGUCCAGCUGAAUAACGUCAACGGCGGUCGCAGGGAAGGCAGCGCUCGCCCUGACAGAGGCCCCAGUGCUGGGCAACACAAAGCCACACUGGUGGCCGUGCAGAGCCCAUCCCUGGGAUGCUUGGGGUGCCACGGGGACCCAAGGGGCACGAGCCUUCUGAUUGUUGUCCAAGGUCCCAGCUGGCUGGGGCAGGACCUGAACGGUGCUCAGCUGUGUGCCCGUCUCUGGGGGCAAGGCCAUCCGUGGCCACACGAUGCAGUGUGUGGAGAUAUGGAGCUCAAGCUUUAAACCCAAGUAUUGCCCAUGGGUGUGCUGAGUUGGACAAGAUGGUCUAUGGUUGGACCUGGUGAUCUCAUUCCAACCGGAAUGGUUCUAUAGUUCUGUGCUCACCAUCGUGCUUGGCUGGGGAGCUCUUCUCUUCCCCCAACAGCAUUUGGGUACGUUCUGUCCACCUUUCUCCUGCCCCUGUUGCCCAUGGGGUUUGGGCAUCCCACUGGCUAGGGAUUUUGUCCCCAGGAAUCAUCAAAUCAUUAAGGUUGGAAAGAUCACUGAGAUCAUCUAAUCCAACCA
Molecule: long non-coding RNA, 2104 nt
Organism: Phasianus colchicus (ring-necked pheasant)
Lineage: Eukaryota; Metazoa; Chordata; Aves; Galliformes; Phasianidae
Source: RefSeq, a predicted model, not a curated record